AUCAGUGGCCAUAGCAAAGGGGAUCACCUGAUACCAUUCCGAACUCAGUAGUUAAGCCCUUUAGCGCCGAAGAUACCAGAGAUGGGAAAAUAGGGAGCUACUUUUU
RNAcentral lists this ribosomal RNA (106 nucleotides) under Mycoplasmopsis bovis. The record is from RNAcentral. Lineage: Bacteria; Bacillati; Mycoplasmatota; Mycoplasmoidales; Metamycoplasmataceae.